GAUGAAGAACGCAGCGAAAUGCGAUAAGUAAUGUGAAUUGCAGAAUUCAGUGAAUCAUCGAAUCUUUGAACGCACAUUGCGCCCGCCAGUAUUCUGGCGGGCAUGCCUGUCCGAGCGUCAUUUCAACCAUCAAGCCCCGGGCUUGUGUUGGGGACCUGCGUCCGACGCAGGCCCUGAAAACCAGUGGCGGGCUCGCUGUCCACACCGAGCGUAGUAACUAACCUCGCUAUGGAGUGGCGCGGGCGCCUGCCGUAAAACCCCCAAUUUCACAAGGUUGACCUCGGAUCAGGUAGGAAUACCCGCUGAACUUAAGCAUAUCAUAAGCGGAGGA
This 331-nucleotide unclassified non-coding RNA is filed under the name soil metagenome. RNAcentral describes it as "partial contains 5.8S ribosomal RNA, internal transcribed spacer 2, and large subunit ribosomal RNA". The stretch from base 1 to 120 matches the Rfam family "5.8S ribosomal RNA", at positions 35 to 154 of the family's 154-position model. The record is from RNAcentral.